RNAcentral lists this ribosomal RNA (159 nucleotides) under Hypocreales sp. RNAcentral's name for it is "partial large subunit ribosomal RNA". It matches the Rfam family "Eukaryotic large subunit ribosomal RNA", at positions 99 to 261 of the family's 3401-position model. Lineage: Eukaryota; Fungi; Ascomycota; Sordariomycetes; Hypocreales. The record is from RNAcentral.
CGGCAACAGCUCAAAUUUGAAAUCUGGCCCCAGGCCCGAGUUGUAAUUUGCAGAGGAUGCUUUUGGCGCGGUGCCUUCCAAGUUCCCUGGAACGGGACGCCACAGAGGGUGAGAGCCCCGUCAGGUCGUGCAACCAAGCCUUUGUAAAGCUCCUUCGAC